ACAUCAUGCUAGCUGUUUUUAGCAUUUGAAAUGACAGUUUAAAAUCACAGUCAAACUUCAUCUGGAGAGAAUAAAUCUGACAGUACAACUUUAAGACCAAAUUAAAUAUUCGUCGCGCCGCUAAGUGUUUCACACUAUAAUGUACACGCAAAAGUACAACACUAUUUCACAAGCUUAAAUUAGAUCUACAGAGUUAAUUUUUUUCACAAGUAAAGCUUAAAUGUCCUAUUUUUGUGGGAGCUUACGUUUCUUGCCAUAGUCGCCCGAAGUUGAUCACGAGAGUGAAUGUAAACAUGACAACGCCGAAUGUGUCCUAUAAUUGACGCAUGCCGGUAAUUGACGCAGCUCCGCUAAGAGUUUUGUUUUUGACAACAUAACAACCCUACAUAUUGCACCCUGAACUGUCCCAAAUAGACGGCGCAGCUAGUUUAACGACAGUUAAUGUCAGAUCAGCUAAGGUCGACGUCUGUCCUCACUGACCGGACGACUAAAGUUAAAAUAGUAAACCAAUUUGGCCUACCGUGAGUAUAAUUGAUCAGUAUCCUAUUUAGCGACCAGUGUAUCGCUUUCAGUUACCACAUCUUCAAUGGUGACACAGCAGAAAAUAGAAGUGGCUGUAAUAGAUUUCGAAAGCUGAAGCAGGAAUACCUUUUCGUUUUACAGAGGUCUGGAGGAUCUCCUUUUCGCAUGUGGAGAAGGAAAUCAUGAAAAACCACGGCUCAGAAAAAAACCUGCUGCGAGAAAAAGGGGGCAAAAUGCUGCAGAAAGCAGUGUCUGAAACUACUGAAGCACCUUCUGGGGGAACUCAAGGACGAACACCCGAAGUUCUGCUCCUACCACGCCAAGACCACUCUCCUGCAUGCCUGCACAGAGCGAACUAGUGAUGGCGAGUGGGGGCUCUCCAAUCUUCACGAUUGCUUCCAGCUUCUGCUGCAGGAUUUCGUGAGACACUUGAAGCGUAAAACACUGCCAAAUUUCUUCAUUCCCCAGCAUAACCUCCUCGGCUCUGUCGGCGUUAAGACCUGCAAUGAUCUUGCGACCUGUAUAGAAUAUGAACUCAACAACAGGUUCCCAAUUUUCAAAGAAUAUCUUCUUAAGGACUAACCAAAGCAGUUUUCGAUUUAUGUUUUGAUAUUGUUUACAUUUGUAUUGUUUAAUGAUGUAUGCAACCAAAAUAAAUCAAUAAAAUACACAA
This is a long non-coding RNA of Clupea harengus (Atlantic herring), 1195 nucleotides long. RefSeq lists it as uncharacterized. NCBI's taxonomy places the organism in Eukaryota, Metazoa, Chordata, Actinopteri, Clupeiformes, Clupeidae. The record is from RefSeq and is a predicted model, not a curated record.